RNAcentral lists this non-coding RNA (84 nucleotides) under uncultured Angelakisella sp. RNAcentral describes it as "Glycine riboswitch". It matches the Rfam family "Glycine riboswitch aptamer", at positions 8 to 87 of the family's 94-position model. From Rfam's summary of the family: This family represents the bacterial glycine riboswitch. Glycine riboswitches usually consist of two metabolite-binding aptamers domains with similar structures in tandem. The record is from RNAcentral. Lineage: Bacteria; Bacillati; Bacillota; Clostridia; Eubacteriales; Oscillospiraceae.
GGCUCUGGAGAAUCUCAUUAGGUUGAGUGCCGAAGGUGCAAGGCGGUUUUCCCGCCGAAUCUCUCAGGCAAAAGGACAGAGCGG